GUCUGAUGGAGCAACGCCGCGUGAGUGAAGAAGGGUUUCGGCUCGUAAAACUCUGUUGUUAAAGAAGAACAUAUCUGAGAGUAACUGUUCAGGUAUUGACGGUAUUUAACCAGAAAGCCACGGCUAACUACGUGCCAGCAGCCGCGGUAAUACGUAGGUGGCAAGCGUUGUCCGGAUUUAUUGGGCGUAAAGCGAGCGCAGGCGGUUUUAAGUUCUGAUGUGAAAGCCUUCGGCUCAACCGAAGAAAGUGCAUCGGAAACUGGGAAACUUGAGUGCAGAAGAGGACAGUGGAACUCCAUGUGUAGCGGUGAAAUGCGUAGAUAUAUGGAAGAACACCAGUGGCGAAGGCGGCUGUCUGGUCUGUAACUGACGCUGAGGCUCGAAAGUAUGGGUAGCAAACAGGAUUAGAUACCCUGGUAG
Molecule: ribosomal RNA, 420 nt
Filed under: uncultured bacterium
Lineage: Bacteria
Description: bacterial SSU rRNA
Rfam family: Bacterial small subunit ribosomal RNA
Source: RNAcentral